CAGUCGCCGCGGUAAUACGGAGGGUGCAAGCGUUAUCCGGAUUUAUUGGGUUUAAAGGGUCCGUAGGCGGAUCUGUAAGUCAGUGGUGAAAUCUCACAGCUUAACUGUGAAACUGCCAUUGAUACUGCAGGUCUUGAGUAAAUUUGAAGUGGCUGGAAUAAGUAGUGUAGCGGUGAAAUGCAUAGAUAUUACUUAGAACACCAAUUGCGAAGGCAGGUCACUAAGAUUUAACUGACGCUGAUGGACGAAAGCGUGGGGAGCGAACAGGAUUAGAUACCCGUGUAGUCCCUGUCUCUUAUAU
RNAcentral lists this ribosomal RNA (301 nucleotides) under uncultured bacterium. Its description in RNAcentral is "partial 16S ribosomal RNA". It matches the Rfam family "Bacterial small subunit ribosomal RNA", at positions 509 to 809 of the family's 1533-position model. The record is from RNAcentral.